Molecule: small RNA, 28 nt
Filed under: Bombyx mori (domestic silkworm)
Lineage: Eukaryota; Metazoa; Arthropoda; Insecta; Lepidoptera; Bombycidae
Description: ovarian small RNA-31458
Source: RNAcentral
UGACAUGGGCGAUAGCAAUUAUCCUCUA